Molecule: ribosomal RNA, 450 nt
Filed under: uncultured bacterium
Lineage: Bacteria
Description: partial 16S ribosomal RNA
Rfam family: Bacterial small subunit ribosomal RNA
Source: RNAcentral
CCUACGGGGGGCUGCAGUGGGGAAUUUUGGACAAUGGGGGCAACCCUGAUCCAGCCAUGCCGCGUGAGUGAAGAAGGCCUUCGGGUUGUAAAGCUCUUUCAGGUGGAAAGAAAUCGCAUCUUUUAAUACAGGGUGUGGUUGACGGUACCAUCAGAAGAAGCACCGGCUAACUACGUGCCAGCAGCCGCGGUAAUACGUAGGGUGCGAGCGUUGAUCGGAAUUACUGGGCGUAAUGCGGGCGCAGGGAGGUGAAAUCCCCGGGCUCAACCUGGGAACUGCGUUUGUGACUGCAGAACUAGAGUACGGCAGAGGGAGGUGGAAUUCCGCGUGUAGCAGUGAAAUGCGUAGAGAUGCGGAGGAACACCGAUGGCGAAGGCAGCCUCCUGGGCCAGUACUGACGCUCAUGCACGAAAGCGUGGGGAGCAAACAGGAUUAGAUACCCGUGUAGUC